UUCUGAGGGAAGCCAGGUUGUUAAAACUGUGAUUCCCUUUACUCAACAAUAACAAGGAUGAUCUAGUCUGAAAGGGAAAGCACGCCCUUAAGACAUCCUGUGACCGAACGGAAUCGACAGUUCACUUGAGCCUUAAAGAACAACUGAAUGAGUGUCUUUGGGGAGAUGCCUAGGAUCUAACGGUGAUGACUGCUUUGCGACAGGAGAUGUACCUGAGUUGUGUUAUUUCAUCCUCACAGUGACCUCCCAAGGUAUUUCUAUUACUACCUUUAUCCCACUCUUCUUUAUUAUCUGAAAGUACUUUCAGAGAAUCAAGUGCUACAGAAUUGAAUGCUGUAAUAUCAUUAUUAUUUUUCCCAACUUUAUUAUUUAUGUCAAGACAUGGCAUCUGGUCCCAUCACUUCAUGGGAAAUAGAUGGGGAAAC
RNAcentral lists this long non-coding RNA (425 nucleotides) under Capra hircus (goat). Its description in RNAcentral is "lncRNA (ENSCHIG00010014583.1)". Lineage: Eukaryota; Metazoa; Chordata; Mammalia; Artiodactyla; Bovidae. The record is from RNAcentral.